Long non-coding RNA from Anolis carolinensis (green anole), 970 nucleotides. RefSeq lists it as uncharacterized. The transcript has 3 exons. NCBI's taxonomy places the organism in Eukaryota, Metazoa, Chordata, Lepidosauria, Squamata, Anolidae. The record is from RefSeq and is a predicted model, not a curated record.
UAGGUGUUAUGUGUCUGGACUUGUUAUUUCAGGGUUGGUCAUCAAUUAUAAUUGAUGUUUAUGGGCAUGCAUGAACAAAGACAAGAAAGGCGGUGGAUAAGCAUAACAGUAAUAACAUGGAACUGAAGUGGACGUAGGGAGAAAUGAAUGUCAGACAGGUUUUGGACUGAAUGUAUCACCAUUUUGAGUAAUGUUGCCCAAGGAGAAGAGAUAAGAAACAAAGAACAACAACCCAAAGUGUUUGUUUUUGGGAUUUGUUUCGGUAAGGAUUCAUCUGUCAUUAGGCCUUGUAUCCAUUAUAGGUGUACAUUUUUUGUUAGUCCUCGUAAAUCAUAUCAAAUUUGUUCAAUUCGUACUUACAAAGCAAUAUCCGACAUGUGAGCCUGGCCUGCACCAAAAACUUAAGAAUUGAAACUUACUCAAUACUUUUUCAUUUGCAUUUUGUAGAUCUUGGAAGCCUCCCAAAGUCAGUUUUAUUUUCAGCAUAAGGAAGCAAAGCAAAGCCAAAAGGGCCACCUUUCCUCUUUAAAUUAAUGGCCUCUUGCCAUUAGAAGAGGAAAAGUAGGAAGGAAGCAGAUUUCUCUGGAAAAGAAAGCACAGAACACUGGGAAAUGUAGUUUGAGAAGGUGAGGAGCCCUAUGCCAGAGAAUGAAAAAGGCCAUCCCCAAAACUCCAUUUCCCAGAAUUCUGCUGACAUCAGAAAGCCCCAGUCAGAAGAGGGGAGAGAUUUGUCCCUUCUGAGCAGCAGCCAGCCAGAGUUCCUAUGAAUGCCUGAAUCUACAAAGAGGAGGACUGACUGAUACUUCUAGAACUGAAGCAAGAUAAGACAACCCAAUCAUGAAUUGCUGGAAUCAUCACCUUUUGUCUCCUGGAAGUCACAUCUUUGUUAAAGUUUGGAACUGAAAUGCUGACUCAAUCAAGACUCACUAACAUCUUUUUGACCACUGUAUCUGCAAAGGAUGCUCCUCCC